Molecule: RNA transcript, 3242 nt
Organism: Gallus gallus (chicken)
Lineage: Eukaryota; Metazoa; Chordata; Aves; Galliformes; Phasianidae
Gene: SLITRK2
Gene name: SLIT and NTRK like family member 2
Exons: 5
Source: RefSeq, a predicted model, not a curated record
CUAUAUGAGUAAAUACAUGUGGAAUAAAAAAAUAAGUCAUGCUAUUUCAUUCACAGGAACAUGCUGUUGGGAAUCAAAACAUAUGAGAGCAUAAGCUUUAGUGAAGGUUUCUUUAAAUAUUAAGUAAAAGGAAAUGAAAGUAACAAAAGUCCAGACAAAAGAGUAUUGUGCUCCACGAAGUCUACACUUGAAUUUUAUGUGUGAUAGCAGUUUUCUUUCAGAUCUUUCUGAAAAGUUUUUCCUUUGCCAAUAUUUUCCUCCAAAAGAGCUGAACUGUUUCACUGUCGGUCAGAUGUCAUAUACACACACCGGGGAUCCAGAGAACUGUAGGUCUUCCUUAUCAUCUUGGUCACAUCAAAAAUGUCUCUAACCACUUCUCACCCUUCUGUAAUAAAUAACUAACAGAACUUACUUGCCUUCUGAACAGGCUUCCUGAGCGGGAAACACUGAGAUACAACACUGACAAGUGGCAUCAGCAGAAACACAGACAGAUGACAGAAGCUGCAUCCUGUAGUCUGAGGGGAAUGAAGACUGCAAGGCCUUGGGACGAUUGGUGAAAGACUCUGGGGUGCAAGCUAUUUUCUCUUCCCUCCUUCCAUUUUCAGCAGAUUCUGAGUAAGGUCCACUUGUACCAAACAAAAUCUCAAGGACUGGAAGAUAUUCAGACUCUGCAAGCAAGGAAUGAAUACUUGAUUUAGUUUUAAACAGUUUCCAGAUCUAGAUGAGCUAUAAAACUGUUUUGAAAAAUGACACCCAAACACAAAACGCAUCAGCUUUAGAUUUGGUGACAGGGCACUGAAUACAUGACUAUAAAAUAUCAUAACUUUGAAGGUCACGCUGUCACCGUCUGCGAAGUGGAAUCUCUUCAAGGCUAUUCUGAAAACUAGUACCUGAGAGUGCACAAGAGAAGAACACCUGAUGGUUGUGCUCUGCAUCAGAGCUUUUCCAAUAUAAGUAUAGUGAACUUGAAGAAUUCAAAAACAUAAUAUGCUGCCAAUGACCACUAUUAACCCGAAGGAAAGAGCUCAUCACCUAGGUAAUGGCUUAAAAACACCAAGUCCAAAAAACAAAUACUGAACACUUCCCACAUUUCAUUUUUUUUUUUUUGGUGAAAUGCUAUACACUUCUGGAGAGAAAAUAAAGGGAUGUAAUGUAAAAAUAUGAAGUUUAAUUUUUUUACAAUUGAAAGAACUUUAUUAAAUUUCUGAAAAUAAAAAUGCAAGCAGUUAACACACAUAGUUUGUGUUAACAGUCAUUUAAUACUCAUUUUACAGCCAAGUACCUAUUUCUAAAUUAGUCCCUUGCUUGUAUAGGUAAUAUAUUCCGAAGGAUCAUAUUUCUGAUUCAUAAUUUUGUGUGUUUCUCUUAGUAUAAAUAUACAUAUCAUAUCUGUACCGUGUCCAUAAUUACUUUUUCUAACUGUACCUAUUCCUACUGUCCAGCCCCUAAGUACAUUUAGAUCUCUCCAGAUCUUAUCAACCUUAACACUGCAAAUACAGGGCUGAUUCAAAGCUAAAAAGAUCCUAUUUCAUUGUUUUGAGGUUUCACUAUGCUUCAGAUCCAUGGGAGUCUGUGAUAAUGAUGCUGCCAUAACAAGUUAAGACUGUGCCUCAUGUUAUCAAGCAGAACUAAACAGUCCAUCAAAGAGAGAUCCCACACAAAGAUGCCCCAAAUCUGAGUGUGUGAGAGAUUUUUUGUAAAGUUACUACAGACUACAAACUGGAAAAGAUUUUUCAUAAACAUAAGGUGCAGUGAAAUCAAUUCAUAGUAGAAGUCGAAAUUCACAGUAAUUAACUAAGCUAGCCUAACCAAAGAUGACCAUAUUCUAUUACACUGUAAGAUUUGCUGAGAGAAGGGAAGGCAGGACCUAAGCACACAGCAAAGCUGUGGAAGUGUUUUCCUUUGUGGCCUCACUACCUCUCCUCAGCAGACACAGAAUCCUAGCAGAACUCUGCACAAGCAUGAUCCAGCUCUCCUUGGUUUAUAAAGAAAUUUAUUCCUAACAAAGAUAGCAACAGAUAGGAAACUGUAGGUUCUCGGGAUACUCCAUUGCCAGCAUGAGAAGGACGGCAAACUAGGUCUUUGAUUCUCUGACUCUAGGAAAUUGAAAUGAUCUUGGGUCUGACACCAGGACAAAAAUAUUGCAGCCCAGAUGCAAGAAAAAAGCUGAAGAAAGGCAAGAGACCACAGCCACCCCUCAGAGAUUAAAAAGAUUUGUUUACAUUACAGUACAUUAACAUAGUCUUCUACUUUUAACCCAGAAGCCAUGCUUACACAAUUCAAGAAAGGCUCUUCUUCAAGACAAGACUACAAAAGAAUUGUCCACAUUUAAAUACUUAAAUACUUGUUUGUUUCAAUUCUCAUAUUUGUAGAACACUGUUUUCCAUUGACUCCUAAUGUGACAGAAUUAUAGCACUCUAGUCCUAUAGCACAUGCUUAGCAACCUCUCUAGACCAUGUAGGAAUCUCUUUGUUUUACUGAAAAUGUUUUGCUCUCAGUUUCAGAGAUGAAUUUUCUUUCAGUCAGUUUAAUGAGUUGGCUAUAAGCUCAGAUUUGUGUUGCAUUCGUUGUUCAAAUGCACACAUUUUGGAUGGAACGUGUGAGGCUUCUAGAUAAUAGACUUCUAUCUUGGAACAUCAAGUGAGAGAAUUUUCUUAUGACUUCAAAAUCAGUCUUCUAAAUGUGAAGAGAGCUCUUUUUAAUAUGCUUAGAAUUAACUACAACUGCCACCAAUAAAAAUUAUUGUUGCAACACAGUUUAUGUGCCAGGAAUUGCAUCCCCAUGGAUGAGCAAUGUCAGUACAAGAAUACAAUGUGGGUGAUAAUAAGCAACAAGGAAAGGCAGCUUUGGCAUCAUAAAACAAAGAGAAUACAAUCCUAGUUCCAAUGGCUAUGAGAUCACAAGUGUCCAAUUUACAGUAAAAGAAUGCGGAAGAGAAUAAAUCACUUCUGUUACUAAAAACUGGGUAACUGGAUUAAUAGAUACUAGAAUAGGAUGUAGAAUUACUAGAAUGUAAAUGAACAAAUGGCCCUGUGAUGGCAGCAGAACUUAAUAGCAAUGGUGGAAUUUCUCACUGAUAUGCUAUAAAAUACAGACAGAUAGAUCAAUAAUAAAGAGACAGAAAGCGAAAAAGCACACAAUGAACAUGCCUUUCUAAUGGGAAAUUCUUUCCAAUGCACACAUUUUUUAUUAUUGCUGACUUUUCUGAAUACACACUUGUCAUGGAGUUACCUAGAUAGAUC